AUUGAACGCUGGCGGAACGCUUUACACAUGCAAGUCGAACGGUAACGUGGGGAGGAGCUUGCUCCACCCCGACGACGAGUGGCGAACGGGUGAGUAAUACAUCGGAACGUGUCCGCUCGUGGGGGACAACCAGCCGAAAGGUUGGCUAAUACCGCAUGAGUUCUACGGAAGAAAGAGGGGGACCCGCAAGGGCCUCUCGCGAGCGGAGCGGCCGAUGACUGAUUAGCCUGUUGGUGAGGUAACGGCUCACCAAAGCAACGAUCAGUAGCUGGUCUGAGAGGACGACCAGCCACACUGGGACUGAGACACGGCCCAGACUCCUACGGGAGGCAGCAGUGGGGAAUUUUGGACAAUGGGCGCAAGCCUGAUCCAGCUAUUCCGCGUGUGGGAUGAAGGCCCUCGGGUUGUAAACCACUUUUGUAGAGAACGAAAAGACAUCUUCGAAUAAAGGAUGUUGCUGACGGUAC
This 467-nucleotide ribosomal RNA is filed under the name uncultured bacterium. RNAcentral's name for it is "bacterial SSU rRNA". It matches the Rfam family "Bacterial small subunit ribosomal RNA", at positions 30 to 478 of the family's 1533-position model. The record is from RNAcentral.